This 1039-nucleotide long non-coding RNA is filed under the name Oryza sativa Indica Group (long-grained rice). RNAcentral's name for it is "lncRNA OsPr106_03g0026210". Lineage: Eukaryota; Viridiplantae; Streptophyta; Magnoliopsida; Poales; Poaceae. The record is from RNAcentral.
AUUCACUAUAGAAGAAGGGAGUUGAUCCAGUUUACAAGGGAAACCGGACCCAAAAAUCUUUCAACAGCACGGUUAAUUAAAGGAAAACCAGCAAAAACCCCGAUAUUGACAAACUGAACCUAAGUACAGCCGUCCAACAAGAGAUAAACUCCUAAAACAAAGUCUUCAAGAAGGUUACGCCGACAGAACGGCUACAUCGUCCGAUCCUAACAAAUUUAGGUUUUCACCGGGAGAAAACUCUUGAAGUGGAGUUGAACGAGGGCUCCAGUAGCAACGCCUUCAAGAAGGUGAACGGCACCCAAGGGCGUCGCCGUUGCUAGCACCGAGAGCGGAGUAAGACUUUCGCCUUGGAGCACCCAUCAACCAUAGCAUCCACGACGGGAGCCACCAAAUGUCACCUACACACCGAGGAUACCUGCGAUAUUCACACCACCUGCACGACAACCGGACUCCAACCACCCCGUUCCCACCCGAGGACGCGCCGGAUCUGGGCAAGGAGCCAGAUCCGGCCGUCUUCCUCUCCACCAAUGCCGGCCGAUGUCUAGAGGGGCGCCAGAGGACGCCAGUGGCAGCCGCGGGGUGCCUGCGUGCUCUGGCCAGCGCCGGCCGCCGCGCCGCCGCCGGAUCCGGGUGCGCCACCGCCGGAUCCGCGGCCUCCACCAUCGCCACCCCAACGCCGUCGCCACCCCCGCCGCCAUCACCCACAACACCACCCGGCGCAACUCACCUCAACCGCCACCGUCGCCCGUCCCCGCCGGCCAGCCCAUCCCGCCAAAUCCGGCCAGAACGGCGCGGAUCUGGCAGACACCGCCGUCGCCACUCCGGGCGGCUCCCCAGGCCACCCGAGCGCGAGGAGAUGAGGAGCACCCCGCCGCUGCCGUCCUUGUGGCCGCGCGGCUUCGCCGGCGGCCGCUCGGGCGACAGCGAGGCGGAUCGGAGAAGGGGGUAGGGGUGGGGGAGAGGGGCGGCCGGGUCGUCGCCUCCCGAGCCGCCCCCUGGGGAGAGCGACGCGAGAGCUGUCGUGAUGUUUGGUGUCUAC